UCUUUAACUGUCCUGACUCAGUUUCCCUGUCUCAGUUACCUUAACUGUUCUGUCUCUGACCCAGUAAAACUAAGGAUUGUUCGCUCUUGGGUUAUAAAUUAGCAAGAUAAAAGAGUAGCUCUCCUGACUCUUUUAUGGAUUUACAAUAUUCCUUUAGAAUAUUCCAAGACCAACCCAUGAUAUCUUUACUUUGUCUCUGGAAUUUUUAGGUUUUAUGGCUUCCCCUCCCUGAUAAAAAAACUUUCCCUCCCUUUCUCUUCUUUGUCUCCAAAAAUGUAUUUAAGAAGUUGUUGUUCCUCCAUUCAUUGCUGGAGAAUGGCAUCUGGCAGCUGUAUGCUGGACGCUGGAUUCUUUGGGUCCUCCAGCCCUGGGACCAAUAUGGAUUCCUUGGUCCCAGUAUACUUAUCUCUGUCUGACUGGAUAAUCUGAGACGAGAGUCCUGUCCAGUCAAUCUUACUCUCCCAUUAAUAAAAUAUUAAAAACU
Long non-coding RNA from Antechinus flavipes (yellow-footed antechinus), 484 nucleotides. RefSeq lists it as uncharacterized. Lineage: Eukaryota; Metazoa; Chordata; Mammalia; Dasyuromorphia; Dasyuridae. The transcript has 2 exons. The record is from RefSeq and is a predicted model, not a curated record.